GAGGGAUUGAAGGUUAAGUUGAUCUUCAAUGGCCAAUGAUUUAAUCAAUCAUGCCUGUGUAAUGAAGCCUUCAUAAAAACCUAAAAAAGGACGGGGUUUGGAGAGCUUCCUGUAAGCGAACCCGUGAAGGUUCCAGGAGGAUGGCGCACCCGGAAAGGGCGUGGAAGCUCCGCGCCCCUUCCCACAGACUUUCCCCCAUCCAUCUCUUCAUCUGGUGUUCAUCGAUAGCCUUUGUAAUGUCCUUAAUAGUAAACCGGAAAACAUGUACACCUAACAGCAUGGUAAGGAAGCCCCAGAAGGAUGUUUCUAAAGACCAUGAGGGAGUCUGAAACCUGAAAUCAUGCCAAGGACUCUCUGCUUCUCUUUCACUUGGGGUGUCUAUCUGAUGCUGCCACAACCAGUUGAAACGUAUAACAUUAACAAUAAAAA
RNAcentral lists this long non-coding RNA (429 nucleotides) under Homo sapiens (human). Its description in RNAcentral is "non-protein coding lnc-NR5A2-1:1". The record is from RNAcentral. Lineage: Eukaryota; Metazoa; Chordata; Mammalia; Primates; Hominidae.